AUUGAACGCUGGCGGCAUGCUUUACACAUGCAAGUCGAACGCCCCGCAAGGGGAGUGGCAGACGGGUGAGUAACACGUGGGAACGUACCCUUCGGUUCGGGAUAACUCAGGGAAACUUGAGCUAAUACCGGAUACGCCCGAGAGGAGAAAGAUUUAUCGCCGAGGGAUCGGCCCGCGUCUGAUUAGCUUGUUGGUGAGGUAACGGCUCACCAAGGCGACGAUCAGUAGCUGGCUGAGAGGAUGAUCAGCCACAUUGGGACUGAGACACGGCCCAAACUCCUACGGGAGGCAGCAGUGGGGAAUAUUGGACAAUGGGCGCAAGCCUGAUCCAGCCAUGCCGCGUGAGUGAUGAAGGCCCUAGGGUUGUAAAGCUCUUUUACCCGGGAAGAUAAUAGACUGUACCGGGAGAAUAAGCCCCGGCCUAACUUCGUGCCAGCAGCCGCUGUAAU
RNAcentral lists this ribosomal RNA (449 nucleotides) under uncultured bacterium. Its description in RNAcentral is "bacterial SSU rRNA". It matches the Rfam family "Bacterial small subunit ribosomal RNA", at positions 30 to 524 of the family's 1533-position model. The record is from RNAcentral.